UACGAGGGGGGCAAGCGUUGUUCGGAAUUAUUGGGCGUAAAGGGCGCGUAGGCGGUUUGACAAGUCUCAUGUGAAAUCUUCGGGCUCAACCCGAAGCCUGCAUGGGAAACUGUCGGGCUUGAGUAUGGGAGAGGUGAGUGGAAUUUCCGGUGUAGCGGUGAAAUGCGUAGAUAUCGGAAGGAACACCUGUGGCGAAAGCGGCUCACUGGACCAUAACUGACGCUGAGGCGCGAAAGCUAGGGGAGCAAACAGG
RNAcentral lists this ribosomal RNA (253 nucleotides) under uncultured Edaphobacter sp. RNAcentral's name for it is "partial 16S ribosomal RNA". It matches the Rfam family "Bacterial small subunit ribosomal RNA", at positions 524 to 776 of the family's 1533-position model. The record is from RNAcentral. Lineage: Bacteria; Pseudomonadati; Acidobacteriota; Terriglobia; Terriglobales; Acidobacteriaceae.